ACCUUCGUGGUGUAGUAGUCAGCACGCUCGACGCGUGUUCGUGAGGGUCUUGGUUCGAUUCCCGGCGAAGGCG
This 73-nucleotide transfer RNA is filed under the name Stegodyphus mimosarum. It matches the Rfam family "tRNA". Rfam says of the family: Transfer RNA (tRNA) molecules are approximately 80 nucleotides in length. Lineage: Eukaryota; Metazoa; Arthropoda; Arachnida; Araneae; Eresidae. The record is from Rfam by way of RNAcentral.